GGCGGGUUGGCGGAGAGGUUACGCAGCGGAUUGCAAAUCCGUGUACACCAGUUCAAAUCUGGUACCCGCCU
This 71-nucleotide transfer RNA is filed under the name Rhodobacter sp. CACIA14H1. It matches the Rfam family "tRNA". Rfam says of the family: Transfer RNA (tRNA) molecules are approximately 80 nucleotides in length. Their secondary structure includes four short double-helical elements and three loops (D, anti-codon, and T loops). The record is from Rfam by way of RNAcentral. Lineage: Bacteria; Pseudomonadati; Pseudomonadota; Alphaproteobacteria; Rhodobacterales.